Molecule: long non-coding RNA, 954 nt
Filed under: Oryctolagus cuniculus (rabbit)
Lineage: Eukaryota; Metazoa; Chordata; Mammalia; Lagomorpha; Leporidae
Description: lncRNA (ENSOCUG00000037945.1)
Source: RNAcentral
CUGCGCGAGGACCAGUUCCACAUCAGUGUCAUCAGGGGCGGCCUCAGUAACAUGCUGUUCGAGUGCUCCCUGCCGGAGACCACGGCCACGGUCGGCGACGAGCCCCGGAAGGUGCUUCUGAGGCUGUACGGGGCGAUCCUGCAGAUGGUACCAGACGGAACUCGGAGUGCGGUCCUGGGUCCUGUGGCAGCACCGCAGUGAUGGAGUAUUCUGGAUCUGCGUUGUCCAGGAUGCCUGGCACCAGCCACAUGUGACUGUUGGACCGUUGAAAUGGAGCAAGUGUGACCAAUUAAUUGAAUUUCAAAUUUUAUUUCAGUGAAUUUGAAUUUAAACAGUCACGUAUAACUGGCGGCUACCAUAUUGGACAACGGGUCGUGCUGAGUCACUGAGCGAAAAGCCAGCUGCAACACGGCUUGCAACUUGGCAGCACAGAUGGCGAAACUCCUGCCUGCAGAGUCACCCUGGCGGAAGCUCAGGAGCUCAAACAAGGUCUGAGGAGGCGUUUUCACUGUGGAGACAGCUGAUGGCCAAGAGGUCGCGUGAGCGCCCGCCCUGUAACCCGAUGCUUUCCUUUCUGGUUCUGGGAAGGAGCCCGGCCCGGCAGAACCCGCGCACCUUUCCCAGAAGCGCGUCUGGCUGAUUUCCCGUACCCAGUUUGCUCACUUAUCAUGAAUUGUGGAAGACACAAAUGUCACCCGACCCAGGAUUCUGCCGAGUCCCGCCUGUCGUCCUCCGUGCCUGCGUUGGUGCCUUCUCGCCAUAACUGAAUGAGCCGCAGACUGCUGUGUCUAGUUUCGACAUAGCCAGCGUCGUUGUCGUGCCGGUCUGCAGUGUUUGGGCUCACAGCAUGAAGCCAGCGCAGGUCCUGGUCCCUGGACCGCAGCCGCCCGCUGUGGGAGGCGUGUGCGGGGAGGCGUGCGGGGCGCGGGCACUGCUCACCUGAGCUGUGUGUGU